GACGAACGCUGGCGGCGUGCUUAACACAUGCAAGUCGAACGGAAAGGCCCUGCUUUUGUGGGGUGCUCGAGUGGCGAACGGGUGAGUAACACGUGAGUAACCUGCCCUUGACUUUGGGAUAACUUCAGGAAACUGGGGCUAAUACCGGAUAGGAGCUCCUGCUGCAUGGUGGGGGUUGGAAAGUUUCGGCGGUUGGGGAUGGACUCGCGGCUUAUCAGCUUGUUGGUGGGGUAGUGGCUUACCAAGGCUUUGACGGGUAGCCGGCCUGAGAGGGUGACCGGCCACAUUGGGACUGAGAUACGGCCCAGACUCCUACGGGAGGCAGCAGGGGGGAAUAUUGCACAAUGGGCGGAAGCCUGAUGCAGAAACGCCGCGUGCGGGAUGACGGCCUUCGGGUUGUAAACCGCUUUCGCCUGUGACGAAGCGGGAGUGACGGUAAUGGGUAAAGAAGCACCGGCUAACUACGUG
Molecule: ribosomal RNA, 468 nt
Filed under: uncultured bacterium
Lineage: Bacteria
Description: partial 16S ribosomal RNA
Rfam family: Bacterial small subunit ribosomal RNA
Source: RNAcentral